Molecule: ribosomal RNA, 253 nt
Filed under: uncultured bacterium
Lineage: Bacteria
Description: partial 16S ribosomal RNA
Rfam family: Bacterial small subunit ribosomal RNA
Source: RNAcentral
UACGUAGGUGGCAAGCGUUAUCCGGAUUUACUGGGUGUAAAGGGCGUGUAGGCGGGACUGCAAGUCAGAUGUGAAACCCAUGGGCUCAACCCAUGGCCUGCAUUUGAAACUGUAGUUCUUGAGUGAUGGAGAGGCAGGCGGAAUUCCGUGUGUAGCGGUGAAAUGCGUAGAUAUACGGAGGAACACCAGUGGCGAAGGCGGCCUGCUGGACAUUAACUGACGCUGAGGCGCGAAAGCGUGGGGAGCUAACAGG